AUGGCUGGCGACUGGUCCUCGUCGUCGUCGACGGCCGCAGUGCCGUCGUCGUCGGGCAUGGCGAGAAGGCUGGCUCGGCACCACCAGGCCGUGCUCGGGUUCCUGCUCGGUUUCUUCGUCAGCGUCGUGCUCUACACCACGGUGUCCGGCCCGAAUUCCAUUGCAGCAGUGCAUGACAUAGAAAAUGGGCAGAAGGACGUACUAACCAAGACGAUGGGGAAAGAACGUAUCGAAGACAAAAAGUUAGUAGAUGGGACCGACAUGAAUAAGAAAACUGCUAAGGUGCAAGUGCAUAGCACAGACCAGUUAGGUCAAACGGCAAAUGAUGCUAGCGGCAAGUUGAAGGAAGAGCUCAUUCGGCAAGAACUCGAUCAAGACGGUGAUGGGAAUAAUAGAAGCAACGUCACACGUGGUACUCCACUCAAGCCCAUCUGCGACCUGUCCGACCCUAGGUAUGACAUCUGCGAGAUCUCUGGGGACGCCCGUGCCAUCGGCGCCAACUGUACCGUCCUCUAUGUCCCGCCCGCCGAUGAGCGCGGCCCUGAUGGCGCGGAAUGGACCAUCAGGGACCAGUCUCGCAAGGACCUAGGAUACAUCGACAAGGUGAAUGUCAAGACCCUGAGCGCCGCCCAGUCCCUGGUGGCGCCGGGGUGCACCUCCCGGCAUGCUGUCCCGGCCGUCGUGUUCGCCAUGAACGGGCUGACGUCCAACCCGUGGCACGACUUCAGCGACGUCCUGAUCCCGCUCUUCAUCACCACCCGUGCCUACGACGGCGAGGUCCAGUUCCUCGUAACCGACUUCCGGCCGUGGUUCGUGGACAAGUACCGGCUCAUCCUCACCAACCUGUCACGCUACGACAUCAUCGACUUCAACAAGGACACUGGUGUCCGGUGCUACCCACACAUCGUAGUCGGCCUCCGCAGCCACAGCGACCUCGGCAUCGACCCGACCCGCACGCCAUACAACUACACAAUGUUGGACUUCCGCAUGUACAUCCGAGACGUCUUCUCACUGCCGCCAGAAGGCCAAGGAAUCCCGUUCAAGGAGGCUAACAAGAAGAAGAAAAACGGUGGCACUAGCACGGAGGAACAAAAGCCGCGCCUCAUGCUCAUCAACCGCGCCGGGAUCAGGAAGUUCGUCAACCUUCCAGAGAUCUCCGCGGCGGUGCAGGCCGCCGGGUUCGAGGUGCUGGUCGUGGAGCCGCUGCGUGACAUGAGACUCGAGGAAUUCUCUCGGGAGGUGGACUCGUGCGACGUGCUGAUGGGCGCGCACGGGGCCGCGCUCACAAGCUUCUUCUUCCUCCGCACCAACGCGGUCAUGCUGCAGGUGGUGCCAUGGGGCUUAGAGAGGGAGGCCAUGAGUUACUUCGGCGUGCAUGCCAAGGACAUGAUGUUGCAGGACAUGGAGUACAGCAUCACCGUGGAGGAGAGCACGCUGUAUGAGAAGUAUGGCAAAGACCACCUGGCGGUACGUGACCCAGAGGCACUACGUAAGCAGGGGUGGCAGUUGUUAAGGAAGUACUUGUGGGACGAGCAGGACAUCAGGCUUAACGUCACCAGAUUUUCUCCCACUCUACACCAGCUGCUUCGAACGCUCGGUGAAUAG
This 1605-nucleotide ribosomal RNA is filed under the name Triticum aestivum (bread wheat). RNAcentral's name for it is "partial small subunit ribosomal RNA". Lineage: Eukaryota; Viridiplantae; Streptophyta; Magnoliopsida; Poales; Poaceae. The record is from RNAcentral.